AACGAACGCUGGCGGCGUGGAUAAGGCAUGCAAGUCGAACGGGCUUUAACGGGUGGUAACAUCUGUUAAGGCUAGUGGCGAACGGGUGAGUAACACGUGGGCAAUCUGCCUCGAAGUGGGGGAUAACAUCGGGAAACCGGUGCUAAUACCGCGUAAUAUCCAGGGAUCGCAUGUUUCCUGGAUCAAAGGUGGGGAUCUUUCGGGACCUACCGCUUUGAGAGGAGCCCGCGGUCGAUUAGCUUGUUGGUGAGGUAAUGGCUCACCAAGGCGACGGUCUGUAGCGGGUCUGAGAGGAUGAUCCGCCACACUGGAACUGAGACACGGUCCAGACUCCUACGGGAGGCAGCAGUGGGGAAUUUUGGACAAUGGGCGCAAGCCUGAUCCAGCCAUGCCGCGUGAGUGAAGAAGGCCUCGG
This 415-nucleotide ribosomal RNA is filed under the name uncultured bacterium. RNAcentral describes it as "bacterial SSU rRNA". It matches the Rfam family "Bacterial small subunit ribosomal RNA", at positions 29 to 420 of the family's 1533-position model. The record is from RNAcentral.